Prinia subflava (tawny-flanked prinia) is the source of this 456-nucleotide long non-coding RNA. RefSeq lists it as uncharacterized. The record is from RefSeq and is a predicted model, not a curated record. NCBI's taxonomy places the organism in Eukaryota, Metazoa, Chordata, Aves, Passeriformes, Cisticolidae. The transcript is spliced from 7 exons.
UGCCCUGCUGCAGCCUCAGGCAGCGCUGCCCAGCGCCAGAGGAAGAUGAAGGUGGCUGUGCUCGGCGUGGCCCUGCUCUUCUCCAUGCUGCUGUGCCUCCCAGCACAGAGCCAGGCCGACAUGGAUGGCAGUGGUGAAACUCUCUGUGCUGGGCGGGCUAGUGCCAUUUUUAUACGCAAGGUAGCCAUAGGAGUACGUGAAGGCAUAUGCAUUGGGAGACUGAAAGAGCUCCCAUGAUGGAAGAGGUUUGAGUCCCCUGUGGCUGAACAGGUGAAGCUUCUGCAGGAGUGAUGCCCAGCUGCCCCUCUGGAUGCCCUGGCCUGCAACUGGUAGAGACACUCGUGUCCUGUCCCCCUGCAGCAGCAUGAGGAGAUGAUCAUCCCUGGAGAAGGCCCUGACCCCCUUGGAGCCCUGGGAAUGUCCCUGCAGGAAUCAAUAAAUGGCUUCAGCAAAGCA